Molecule: ribosomal RNA, 464 nt
Filed under: uncultured bacterium
Lineage: Bacteria
Description: partial 16S ribosomal RNA
Rfam family: Bacterial small subunit ribosomal RNA
Source: RNAcentral
GAUGAACGCUGGCGGCGUGCUUAACACAUGCAAGUCGAACGAUGAAGCCCAGCUUGCUGGGUGGAUUAGUGGCGAACGGGUGAGUAACACGUGAGUAACCUGCCCUUAACUCUGGGAUAAGCCUGGGAAACUGGGUCUAAUACCGGAUAGGAGCGUCCACCGCAUGGUGGGUGUUGGAAAGAUUUAUCGGUUUUGGAUGGACUCGCGGCCUAUCAGCUUGUUGGUGAGGUAAUGGCUCACCAAGGCGACGACGGGUAGCCGGCCUGAGAGGGUGACCGGCCACACGGGGACUGAAACACGGCCCAGACUCCUACGGGGGGAAGCGGUGGGGAAUAUUGCACAAUGGGCGCAAGCCUGAUGCAGCGACGCCGCGGGGGGGAUGACGGCCUUCGGGUUGUAAACCUCUUUCAGGAGGGAAGAAGCGAAAGUGACGGUACCUGCAGAAGAAGCACCGGCAAACUACG